Molecule: long non-coding RNA, 11132 nt
Filed under: Homo sapiens (human)
Lineage: Eukaryota; Metazoa; Chordata; Mammalia; Primates; Hominidae
Description: non-protein coding lnc-ATP6V1G3-4:4
Source: RNAcentral
AAUUCCUGUGAUCCGGUACAUACAGAAAAAUAUCAAGAGAAGUUAAAUUUUAAAAUGAUGGACCUUUUCCAAUUAGAUUACUUCUGAUCAAUACAAUGUCUGAUUUUUAUAAGAUGACAACUAAAAUUCAAAUUCGGAUGUCAAAAAGGUUUAAAUAACCCUCCCUCCGAUCUCUUAAAAACAUAUUCAAAAGUAUAUCAUUCUGAAAUUGUACAAUGCAUACAAAUAUUUGAUGCUAAAAACUUCUACAAAGAUAAAGAGAAAAAGAAUAAAGAUCAGGAUUUUCAAGGGCCAUGGCUUAUAACAGCCCAAUACAGCUGUAAAACCUACAUACAGAGUUAGGAUCUAUGUGAUGUUACAUCAGAGUAAAAGAAGAAAAUGUAUUCAAUAUUGUUUUUUAGAAAGUCAUUCUAUUGUAAUUUAUGAUUCUCACAUCCAUUAGUAUUGCAGAAAUGUCACUCUCAAUAAUUUUAUGUUUUAAUCAUAAAAAUGUUAAGCUUAGAAUAAGAUUUUUUUUUCUAACUGGUGGAUUGUUUUCUAUUUCCCCAUGCUAGGGAAAACCUUAGAUUGCUAAUGUUAAUACAUAAGAUAGGAUUGAUAUUACAAUGAAUUCCUAAAACAGCUGAUCUUUGAUUUAAAAUGCUUAUGGUGUUUCUAUAAUUUAGUCCUAAGAGGAAAAAAAUACUCUCUCUCUCUCUCUCUCGUUUUACCAAUUCUUCUACUUGAAUAUAAGUAGAAAGGCAACUGGAAGGGGACUGCAAAAUAUUAAAAGCAAAACCACGCCCUGUUCUCUGAUGUCAUCCUAUGCAUCUUCAUUCCUUGGCUACUCACGUUGUAUACCUGAGCCAGGCAGAUCUUCCUUUGCUGUCUCAAUAAAAGAACAAGAAGAGGUACCUAGUUUUAAAAUAAUGAAUAAAUCUAAGACUUUUAACAAAAAAAACUAGAUUUCCCUGAAGUCAAGAGAUAACCUUGCUUUAAAUAACAGUAUUUUAACUCUAAAAUGAAUAUAUCCAGAUCCCAGAUCUCUCCUUUGCAUGCCAAACUUGCAGUCCCAAAUUCAUAUUCAGCCUCUCAUCUUAAAUGCCUCUUGAAUAUGCCUUGGAAAUAGAGAUCUGAUAAUUCCACCAAUUUAGAGUAAGAACGAAUCUGUUUCUUUCUUAUUUCCCAUCUCAGUAAAUCAUGCCACCACUCAUCCAAUUACAAAAGAUAGAAACUUGAAUUUCCCUUUUGAACAUUACAUUACAUCACCAAGGCACUAGCCCAAUCUGGUUGAAAGGAUACUCUUGAUUUACUCUCUCAAGCAUCGUUCUCAUUAUAUUCCCUUUACAGCUGGUCCUCUCCAUCACCUUCAGUCUGGCCUCUUGCCUUGCACUCCUCUGCAACAGACUUACUAAUGCCAGCAAUUAUUUCUCAAUCCAGGGCCCUCCCCCUUUCUCAUAGAAAUAUAUAAAGGAAGACGUGAAUGGUCAAAUACUCUUGGAUUGGAAGAGAGUACCUGGAGCUAUCUUGCUGGAAAAAUUGAGGCGUUUUCUUUCUCUCAAUGGAGAAUUCCCUGGUAAAUUAGGACCAGUCAGGGGGGCGUUUGUUGGAAAAUCUACAAUAUGCUCUUUGAAUAUGAUUGCAGGGCCUUUCUUCAAGGUGUUUGAUUCAAGUAGCUCUGCCCUGAGUAUUGGCUAGCUGCAAAUUGAGAGAGGGGGGAACAAUUCUCUACUUUGAUGCAUCAUCUCAGGCCUCUUUUUACCAGGUGAAUUUUCUCUUAAUAAAACAAAGAAGAUUUUUGUGGAUUGCCCAUCUCUUUUGACUCUGCAGACUCUGUAACCAAUUUUUGUAUGUUAAUCAGGCCAAUCUGUGGAGUAGGCUUAUACUGCAGCCUGCUUAAUUCACUUUAUUUUUCUUGUAUAAAAACCCUAUGUUGUAGCCACAGCUGGAGCCUGGGUCCAGAACUGCAGAUAGUACAGCUUCCACAGGAGCAAGGGAUGUCUGAGCACAAGUGGCUGAGUUCCGAGUGACUUUAUGAAGCACUUUCUACCUUCCUCUCCGGCAUGAAAACAGGGAUUCUGCACCUGCAUCAUGGACAGUCUGGCAAAAGCCUCUGCUCUGCCUCCGGGGACAAGAAACUAGAGCAAAUAACCGUUUUGAAAUUAAAAAUAAACACUAAAUUGGCCAGGCACAGGGGCUCAUGCCUAUAAUCCCAGCACUUUGGGAGGCUGAGGCAGGUGGAUCACUUGAGGUCAGGAGUUUGAGACCAGAGUGGCCAACAUGGCAAAACCUCAUCUCUACUAAAAAUAUAAAAAUUAGCCGGGCAUGGCGGUGUGCACCUGUAGUGCCAGCUAGUGAGGAGGCUCAGGCAGGAGAAUUGCUUGAACCUAGGAUGCGGAGGUUACAAUGAGUCAAGGUCACACCACUGCACUCCAGCCUGGGCAACAGAGUAAGACUUACACUGAAUAUAAAGAAUAAUUGAAAACUUAUGUAAUUUUUUUUCUUCAAGAGCUCAAAGCUACAUAUGCCUACAUUGCUGCAAUUGUAUGUAUUACUUAUUGAAUUUUCUAAUGCAACUUAAACAUUGAUUUUGGGGGUUUUUAAGUUAUAAAAGCAGGAAAAACAAAAUAAUUUUUUAUUUUUUAAGUACAUGUUUUCAAGUGUAUGUACAAGUCCACUUAUAUUUAGGCCAUACUGUGCAUUACAGUAAGCACACUCUUGCACAAAGAAAUUGAGUGUGUAAACAAUCAUAGCCCAAGGUUUCCCAUUAUUAUGUGAACUUAUUGUUUUGUUUUCCAUAUACUUCCCAGAUUUGCUUAUGCUAUUUCCUCCUAUUGAAAUGAUUUUUUCUUGCUCUUUUCUGAAUAUCCAAAUGUAGUUCAACUCAAAUGCCACCUUCUCUAAUACUUACUCAUCUACCACUGUGGUACUUAGUCUCUUCUUUAAAUGUCAAUAAUUUUUUUUUUUUUUUGCCUAAGAAGAUGCUAUAAUGGAUGCACGUAGAUUUGCUAAAAGUAGAAUAAUUUAUCCUGUCAGAGUUAUUGAUGCUCAACUCUGUCUUUUUGGAAAUUGCAUUUGUUGAAAGUCGGGCAUGCUUAAACCCUGAUUGCAAAUUUUAGAUGUUUUCAAAAGAUUAUGUAAGAGUAGAAAUUGAAGUGUAUCAUCUUCUGUCUUCUAUUUAGCGUUGUUCUGUUCUGCUUCCAAUGAGCAUCGUAAAUGUGAUGACAGAGUAUAAUGAAAUGGUUAUUUGGUUGUUUUGUUAGGUUCCAAAGUUCAGAAUUUUCUAAUCCCAUUAACAAUAAUAAAAAAAUACUCUGCCACUCAAAACCACAAAUAUCUCAAAUAUUUAAGUUUACUAAGCUUAUAAUUAGCAUAAGAAAUAUUUUCUCAUAGAGCUUCAAGAACACAACCAAAUAAUUCUUGAAAUUAUAGAUAAAAAUCUAGUAACAUAGUAUAAAAUAUAACAUUAUCUUUUUAUAAUAUACAAGCAAUAAAUUUUAUUUACAGUGUUAAUUUUAUGAGCAAACUAUUUUAAAAUAUUACCACAUUAUGUAUAAUAAAAACUGUAUUGUGCAUAAUGAAAAAUAAAUAUUGAUGGUUUUACAUAAUAAAUAUUGUUAAAGGAAUGAUUUUUGUUAUCUGAAAUUAUAAGAUUAAAAUUUGUAUACCAAGUUUCACUCAGUCACUGUUUGCUGCCAUAGAAUUUAUAAGAGAAAGUAGAUCCUGGCAAAAUUACCAACAAUCAAUGAUGGAAACUGAAGGGAGAUUGAUUUAAAUCUUCAAUGACAGUUGUACAGAAGUUGAAGAAACACGUCAUCUUUCCAAAGAAGAGUGAGUAGCUUGGUUGGUGGUACCCUAAAAUUAGGGCAUGAUUAAGGUACGUCAUUUCUUUUAGUUCAAUCAAAGUGCUUUGCUGUUUCCAUUUCAGAGAAUUUCUUAUUCUUUUUUUCAAUUUCUCUCUCUUCCUCUUCUUCCUCUCAUUAGUAGAUGUCUUUUAUAAUUGAUGUCAUUUACUGUCCUUUCAUCAAAUGUAUGCCACAUCACUUAGGCGAACCAGCAGACAGGGCACCAAAAUACACAUUAGAGGAGACUGGCUUCCAUGAGACGCUUCGACUGUCUCAUCGGGGCACUUGUAAUAAGCAUCUUGAUUCAAAUAAUAGCUUUCAUCUUCACUCUUUUUAAAUAUAAAAGUAAACCUUGAAGCCCUUUGAAGGUUUAAAUAUUAAGUUAAGUAUAUAACUUGCCCUAUGCCAUAUUGCUUUAAUCAGGGGACUGAGCAUCACAUUUAGAUUUGAUGAGUUUGGGAAAAGUUCUCAAACAUCCAGACCCAUGGACCUUAAGAAUUACUGCAGAAAUCUCCUUCAAUAUAGUUAUAGGGAGCAUUAAUGCUUUUGUGGUACUAAACAUAUUUUUGAGCUUAGAUACAAAUCCUUCUUGUCCUGAACUGAUAGGGUAGGAAUUGUUUAGGUGCUUCAAAUCCAGAUCUUUCAGGGGUUGCCACCUAAACUCAUCUUUAUGAGUAACUCUAGAUAAUAAUACACUUUGGUAUCUUCCAAAGUGCUUAUCUAGGCAUGGAAAAGUUCAGUAAUUAUCAUGAGGACUGUUUGAUAUUCAACAACUCUAGAGGAAAGACACAUCUCCAGUUAAAAAUGAAGGGUGCACAUGGGUUACUCAACAUGUGAGUCAUCAAGAAAUGCAAUACUGUGCAAUGACUGGUGAAUCACAGUCUCUAAAGGAAGCUUUUUGAGAUUUUUACACAGAUGGCUAUGCAAAGCAUAAAUAAGUGUGAGGAGGAAGGGAAAAGAAAGGAGGGAAAAAAUAAAUGUGUGGGAGGACAGGCAACUGCAACUUUCAUUGUUCUUUAUUUUCUUGACCAUUGAACUAACUACUUAGAUAAACCCUACAACUCUUCUCUUCAAUUGCCAUUACAUGUCCACAUAGCCUUUUAAGCUGUGGUCACACCACUGCACUUCAGCCUGGGAAACAGAGUGAGCUCCUGUCUCAAAACAUAAAUAAAUAAAUAAAUAAAUAAAUAAAUAAAUAAAUAAAUUAGAAGCUGAUUAACUUUUACUGUAACCCAUACAGUAGAUGUAUCACUGACCAUGUAAAAUAUAUACAACUCAGAUAACUUUGUGUUGCAAUUGUCUAGACAUUCUGCUGCCCACAGAAUCAGGUCCACACUCCCUUCCAUGGUAUUAAAAGUUGUUCAUAUUCUGAGCCCAGAAAAUUUAGCAGCUUCAAACAUCCUUCUUCUCCCUCUACUCACUUUGUUUUUCAGUGACACCAGUCUAAUAUUUAUGUGCUCUUUUUCUAACAUAUGAAUUGUUAUACCAAGUUGCCCCCCUUAAUAACCCUUUUUUUCUCACGUGCCUUGUCUGUUUCUCUUCACAGAUAAUGUCUACUCAUCUCUUUGGUAGAUAAGAACUAUUCAAACCUUUCCAGAGUGUUUUUGGGGACUUAAUAUUUAAAGAUACGAUACCAUAAAAAGAGAAAAAAAGAUUUAGGGGUUAUCUAGCCCAAUCUUUUCAUUUUGUGGCUAAGGAAACUGAAGCACAAAGAAAGAAUACUGCCCAAAGUCAUACAGUAAUAAAUUAUACAAUCAUGACUAACUAUCUAUGACUUGCCAGUCUCUAUAGGUUCAUAUUCCCUUUCCUGUUCUAUUAGUUUUCAAGUGUUAGUCCUAUUUUUUUUCUAAUACACCACGUCUUUUACUUAUUUAUCUUUAUGUUUCAUCUUUCUCACUAAACUGUAAACUGCAUGAGCCCAGGGACAUUUGUCUAUUUUGCCAUCUGCCAUAUCCCAAGAUCUUAGAACAGUGCCUGGUAUGUAUCAGCUGUUUGUUACCUAUUUACUAAAGGACUGAAUUAGUAUCUAAUGUAAUAUUCUAUGGUGAUAUUUGCAAUUAAGCAAAACAAACAAACAAACAAAAAACCACAGUAAGUUGAUAGAGUAAGUAAGGUACUAUUACCUUACUUACCCUGAGAGGGUAACUUUUGACUAGAGACAUGAAUGAAGUGAGAAAAAUGAGUCAUGGUUCCAACUAAUGGUCAAGCAUUCUAGAUAGAGACAACAGCAUGCGCAAAGGCCCUGAGGCUAUUUCAUAUUUAGCAUGCUCUGCAAAUGGAAAAGAAGCAUUUGUGACAAGAGAAGAGUGAGUGAAAAGAAGAAGAUGGGAAACAAAAUGCGAGAAACAGUUCAGACCAUUCAUAUAAGCUGUGGUGAGGACUUUAGAUUUAAUCAUGUGACUGCCUACCAAGAUGUAGUGUUGAGAGGUAUUGAAGAGAAAGCAUGUAUAAUUCUGUUCUCAAGCUGCUGAUAAAGACAUACCUGAGAUUGGGUAAUUUAUAAAGGAAAGAGGUUUAAUGGACUCACAGUUCCAAACUGUCACUUGAGCACAGGACCCUGGUGGAUGUGAAUGAACACUGCCAACUCAGGCCUUCCCAGCUCAUUAGACGCAGCAAAAAGGGUCAGCCCUUGCCAUCCUGAAAUUUGCGUGAUUUAUUUGAAGAAGAGAAGGAGGAGGAAGGGAGAAAAAAUAUUGAGAAGUUUAAGAACCAGGUAAGCAUUUUAUUUAUUACAAAGAAUAAAGCAUUCAACGCGUUGUCUCACAUAAAAUAAUACAGAAAAAUCCGUUAAGUGUCCUUGCUCUUCAGAAGAAAACAAUGAAUGGAUGCUGAUGUUUUACAACAUUUUGAGAUCAAAUGUAUUUCCUUGUGGCUCUCUGAGAGACAGAAGGGAAGGGCUGGAGAUACUGGCUUUCCAUGGGUACUGGUGUGAUGACACUGAUCUGAAGGCACUGCAAAGUUUUAGAUUCUUGAGUGUACUUGUUAAAUAAAACAAAACAAAAGAGAGAGAAAAAAAUUAGAAUAGGGCAGUAAGUUUGUAUUGUUAUAAUGAAACAUUGUAACACUCUAGGUAUUAUCUCUGCACUGACAUAGAAUAAAAAUAAACUCAUAAGAUGAAUCAAAAAAUGGAACAAGAGCUGAAGCAAUAAUCAUAGUCUUAAAAGUUGGGAAGAGACUUUUUGCCCAACCCAUAAAUUUCACUGAGCCCCUAAAAAAGAGGAAAUAAUUAUUAGAAAUGACUCCAGAUUAUACAUUGACUCCUGGCUCUGUCUUUAUAUUUUUGUGGGCUGAUCCAUAGAAUGGUGUGCUUGUGUGAUUGAUUUUAAGUCAGUAUAAAUUAGUAACUAUCUUUGGGGGAAAGUAUCUGCUAGCUAAAAUUACUUCAAUAAAAAAAAUCCAAGAAUGCUAAAACAUUUUCCCUUAUGAACACUCUAAUUGGCAGUAUCUUAACUGUUAGUAAAAAAUGCUUUUAUUUUUUAAAAUUUUUGGCUGUGAAACAAACUUUCCAUUUGCUGAGUUUUUAAAAUAAAUAUCAAUAUUUACAUUCAUGUGACUAAUUUUUGGAAAAACACAUCCCUAUAGUGUAUACAUCCAAAUGCUGUUUGCCCUUCAGAGUUAAAUGCCUUGAAAGAUGGCACCAUAAGCCAGGGAAUCUGCCACUGAUCACAGUGUUUUUAGGAGUUGCCAUUAAGUCGAACCAUUUAUUUUUUUAACCCCACUCUUCAAAGAUGCUCAAACAAGACAACUUUCCAUCCUUUGAGAAUGAUUCAAGUUUCAAAAAUAGCUUUAGAAACUCUUAAUGUUGCAAAAUAUGGUACAUAUAGUAGUUGAUCAGUUUGGUUGAUCAGCUUGGUUCACAAGAAUUGGAAUUUUAAGACUUAGGUGGAUUUUAAUCUGGGGUCAAUGAAAGACCUCUGAAGGUCAUGUGGCUGAACACAAGCAGAUUAGCUGGAUAUUUGUCCUGAGCACCUAAGACAAUACUAGAAAAGUAAUAAAAUGGGAAAACAUAUAUAUAUAUAUAUAACACAUAUUAUAUAUAAUAUAUAAUGGUUUUUCUUAAGUGGUUUGCCUCUGCAUUUUUAUAUAGGACAUCUGUCAUUAAAUUUGAUCACAGCAGUUUUAAGUUUACCAUUUGUAAUGAUAAUAAUUAUAUAGCAAAAUAAAAUGCUUUCUCAAGUGUCUAUGUUUGGAGUACCUGGAUGGCUUCAAUGUUCAUUUUUUUUUAAUGGUCAAAUAAAUUAUCCUUUCUUUUCCUUGAUCUUUUAAAUCCCAUUUGCCUUUAACUCCCAUUACAGAAACCCAUUGCUGGGACCCGGCUCUUGACCUCAUCAUAACCUUAAAAUAUUUUACCACAUUCGAUAUCUAAUAUCCCACUCUGUCUAUCACUUCUUACCAUUCUAGUUUCUCAUUCUCUUAUCUCCAAGGCAACUGUCCUUUCAAUAUCAGUGUUGCUGAAAAAUAAAAUCACAUCAUCAUAUGGACACAUUAAUACACAUACUCAGGGGCCUCCAAGUGCCUCAGUCCCUCAACUCUGACCCAGCAUUUCUUCUACUCCACUCCCUCAUGUUUAGCCUAAAUGUUUACCUCUUUCCUCAACUGCUCCUUUCCACGAUUCCACUAUGGGAUUAUUAUUUACUUUAUUUAAUUCACACAAUGAUAUGGCUACAUGGUCUCCUUUAAUCCUCACAAGAACCAUUUGAGAAAGGAAAUACUAUUCUAAAGUUGAGCACAAGAUAAUAAAAAUAUGUCUGAUGCCACAGAACUGAUAAGAGUGAUGGCUCUAAGCUAUGUUAUCUACUUUACAUUCAAAUUUUGAGAAUUUAGCUUGUAGUGAAUAACUAUUUCUAAGAAAAGAAGAAUAGUGUAUUCCUUUAAAAACAAUAGCUAAGCUUGACUUCUUUGUCACUGGGAUUUAGGGCAUGAUAAACAUGUGAUCCAAGAACAAAGUUUAUACCCUCAGACUACAUAUUUGGAAACAUGACAUGCCAAUUCAAGUGAUUUAAGUCCUGGUUUUCCUUAUUAAUCAUAGAAAAAAAAUUUCUACAAGUCAGAGGAUUUACCUGCUUUGUUUGCUGCUCUAAGCCUGGCACCAACAACGAUGUCAAACAUACAAUAGGAGCUCAAUAAAUAUUAGUUGAAUGAAUGAGUCAAGAAUGAAUCUACUCAUAAAGCAUAUAAUCCAGUGCUUUAGGUCUGAUGCUGUGAGUCAAAGUUGAGUUGUGGGUGUCUCAGAAAACUACAUACAAAGCAUGGCAUUUAUUUCCACUGGAGUCAUAGCUUUUACUUAUAUAUUUACCAUAUGAGAAUUUACCUACUAUAUUUCUUCCUAUCUAAGAAAUAAUUAAUGGCAAGACAAACCAUCAUUGAAUGAAGUAGUGAAAGAAGAACCUGAUUGAUGCCUCUUUUGUUUAAGGAAACUCCAGAUUGUGUGCUUGGAUAGCUUUGAGUAGUUUGGGGUAGGUGGUAAACUGUGAUACUGUCUUUCUAAGGAAGUCGCUGGUAGGUAGAGCAUAAAAGAAUAAAACAAUCUUAAAGGAAACAGACUCUGAGUAAAGAUGGUCAGUGAACUAAGUAUGAGGGGAAGGACAUUAAAUGAAGAAAAAAAGAUCACUAUUUUUUUGUUAAAGUUUUUUUAAUAGGUCCUUAUCAAGGUAUAUUUUAAAUAAUAUAUGAAAGAAAAAAUAAACUGGUUCUGAGGCUAGGUCAAGGAUUCAGGGAUUGAGAGAUCAGGAAAUCAAAUUUUAUAUAAAUAGAGGACCCAGAACAAAUCAUUAAACGGUCUGUAUGCUCCCCUAGAGGUUUGAGCAGCUGGGCAAUGAAGAGGUGAGCUACAACUCCCAGUGCACACCCUGCGAGGGGGACAAGGGAACUUUUCCUGUUUUAGAAAUACCAAAGCACAAUCAACCCAUCAAACGAAAAAAACAACAACAGCCUAAAAGACAAGGUUGAUGUGGAGGAGAAAAAAAAGAAUUUGGCUUCCUACAAAGCAAUAACAAAUCAUCCACAUAGGAAAGUUACCAUUUCUGCAGAUGGAAAAAUGUGUACCUUGCUUCUCAUAUCAUUGUUUUCAUUUUGCAAGAUAUGAAUUUCUUGAAUAGUGGUAUCACCUACAAUUACUUAAAAAAUUAAAAUAAUUUAGGGCACCUUAGCUUGAUAGCUUUCUAAAGAUAUAAACAAGUUAUUUGGUUUAAUGAGGGGAAAAAAAUUGGUCUAAAGGAAAAUGGACUGACAGCUUUGUUACAUACUAAAAAUCAACCAAUAACUGUCUUUUAAUGUUGUUGGUGAUAGUUGUUUUGUUUUUUAAGCAGGAAACACACAGAUGUACUCUAAAAAUCAUUCUUAGUAGAAGUCUUUAAUAUCAUUUUACUUAUAGAUACUAAGUAUAAAUCUUCCACUUAAUCUGUGUUAAAAUAUGAUAUUCUUUUAUUUGUCAGUUAAUAGUUUGUAAGGACCAGAAAGUAACCAUUUCUAUAAAGCAGUUCUCUAGACAAGGUAAAAUGGUAAACCACCAUUAGAUGCUUUUUCUCCUUCUUCUCUGUCACGUGAUAUUAAAAAAGACUGGCCUGGGCAUGGUGACUCAUGCCUGUAAUCCCAGUAAUUUGGGAGUCCAAGGCUUUCAGAUCACCUGAGGUCAGGAGUUCGAGACCAGUCUGACCAACACGCUACAAUUAACUGUUAGGUGAUAAUAAAUUCACUGUCAAUGGGGACAUUGAUUUAUGUCAUGGGGUCCAUCUAGCAAAGAAGUGGCAUUUAGUUAAAAUAUGAGCUAUGUAAGCAUCUUUCCUGAGCCUGAGAUACCGUGACUUGAUGACCACUAAAAUAUCUGACCAUCCAUGGCUUUGACUCCUUGGAAGGUUUCAGAUUCUAUUAUCAUGCUUCUUCAUGUAAGCAGAAAACAGGUGUUAUAGUGUCUUUCUCUGUGGCUAGUUACUUUAGUUGGUUAUUUUAUGUUUCUAAUUACAUUGAAUUAUUGGGUUCAGGGCAAUGUAUUUAUUACACUGUGAGCAAGUAAGCUUUGUGUUCUACGACCCUAGGGUAAAUCCUUAAAUUCAUCAAGAUUCCUUGAAAUGCAAGUAUGGAUAAAUGAACUCCAAUCCAUUUCCAAUUCUGGGAACCAGACUAAGAUAUAUGCACUAAUAAAGGCACUCUGGUAACUUUAUUUUUUAUUCAAAAAAUAUUAAUCCCUGGGUAGAAACAACUCAUUACAAAAAAAAAAGUGCUACAUUUUGCAGAAGGUCAUUUCAGUUUUAUUAGUCUUAAUGUUGGAUCUCCUUUCCUAAAAUCUGAAAUAAACUUGCAAUUUCUGAA